Long non-coding RNA from Lemur catta (Ring-tailed lemur), 497 nucleotides. RefSeq lists it as uncharacterized. The record is from RefSeq and is a predicted model, not a curated record. Lineage: Eukaryota; Metazoa; Chordata; Mammalia; Primates; Lemuridae. The transcript has 3 exons.
GUCGCUGCCCUCGCGUGCUGCGCGGCACCUCCCGCUCCCGCCCCGACGUCCACAGAGCCGUCUGUCGCGAAGGACGAGGGGAGAGUGAGGCUUUGGCCAUCCAUCUGGGCGCAAACUUCGCAGCAGCCUCCUGUGGAAAGCAUCAGAAAUGGCCGCUGAAAGGGAGGCCUCGGUGUUGCGCACGGAGAAGACAGAGGCAAGAUGUACAUAAGGGAAUGAUGCCAAGAAUGUACCCUGGAAUCUGAGGGAAGGUGAGACUAUCUGGUGAAGAGGAGGUGGUAUGACUGAUGGAUCAUAGGUCAUGGUGGGGUUAAAGAAUUGUUUGUCAAAAUAUCAAGUUGAACACCUUAAUUGUAUACAAUUUCUGUUUGCCAGUUAUACCCCAAUAAAGACUGAAGGAUAAAAAGAAUUGCUGGACUCAGAGGGGAGAAAGAGAGAGAGAGAGAGAGAGAGCUGGAGGCUGGGUGUGGUGGCUCAUGCCUGUGAUCCCAGCACUU